Long non-coding RNA from Oncorhynchus nerka (sockeye salmon), 1536 nucleotides. RefSeq lists it as uncharacterized. The record is from RefSeq and is a predicted model, not a curated record. NCBI's taxonomy places the organism in Eukaryota, Metazoa, Chordata, Actinopteri, Salmoniformes, Salmonidae. The transcript is spliced from 2 exons.
AGGUGUAGUAGGAUCUAUGCUACUGAACUGUCUAGUCACAGACCCUUCAAGGUGUGACAUGUUGGUGUUGUCGGCAGGACUUGGGCAGUCUGGAGAACUGGCUGCUCCCUCCCCCCUUGUGCAUACUUCCUGAGGUGGACUCUUAAAAUACUCAGGUGCUAUAUGGGUGGAUGCUGUGCUGGUGUGUGCAAACCAUGCUAUUUAGUAGCUGGAGAUGGUGGCACCAGAGGAGACUGCCCAGUUGAAAGCCUCCUCGUAUCUGGCGGGACAACUGACGAGGUGUCCCACUCCUAGUGAGCGGUUGGGAUUCAGGAAGCAUGGCAAAGAUAGGACACCUUGCAGCUAAACGGACCUGCUGGUGCCAGUCAAGCCUGGUCUGGAGAGGAGCCUAUGGGUGGGGUCUACAGAUGUGGGCGAGCAACACAGUAUGGAGGCCUCCAUGGGCCCUAACCUUGAGGAGUAGCUUCAGUACACCGGUGAGGGAGUGAAGCACAACCGGUCAAACUUUUGAGCAUUCAAUAUGGAACUUAGGGACAACUAAAUGCUUGGAGGAAGUUGUUGUGCUAAGGGUGACAGAACUUGAGCCAUUUUUUUGGUGUGAACAUUUAUUUGCAUGUUUUUGAAUUGCUAGCAUUGCCUUUUCUAUUUACUCAAAUGUGUGGACAUCUUUUGUUUUAGUGGGUGAGAAUGUCACAGGAGUGACAUGCCGUUAAUUACUUUGCAUGCUAUUGCUCUAAUUUAGUUUUCCUAACUGAUAGAUUCAUGGAGCAAUGUGAUUGGCUCUGUUUAUAACCCUUAUUGCCUCUGAGAUGUGGCUGCUCAGGGGAUGGUGCAUGUGUCUGAGGUGGUGUCUGAAGCCUUGUUUUGUUUGCUAAGAGAAGUAUUGCCUUGAUGAAAUAAUGAUUUAAGUUAAAGAUGUUAAUGCUGUUCCUGCACUAAUAAUUUGUAUGUUAUCCUGCUAGUUGUGCUAAAGUAAAUAUAGAAACUGAACUUGGAAGAUAACAACAUGAACUGAAAUGUGACAUGCCUCUUCUCAUUUCAUGUUCUUCCACUCAACCACAAACUGAAAGAACCUGCAGCCAAUAGUGUUAUUCAGUGCUCCCUAUGCUCUUGGUGUAAACCUAGGGUGGUGUAGUUGGAUCGAUGGUACUGAACUGUCUAGUCACAGCCGCUCUCUGUCGGGGUGUGAGGCAGGAACUAUAGAAUUAGGGGUGCUGAACUGAAAUUGGUAACCCUUAAUUUGGAUAGUCCCAAAUAAGUUUGUAGAUGCUCAGAUCAAUUAACUCAACAUUUCUACGAUCCACUAACCCUAAACUUAACCCUCUGACAUAUAGGCAUACUCGGAUGUGUUUAUGGGCCUGUUUGAGGUUUGCUUUAGUCCUCAAGUCAUGGUUAUAUAUUGCGAUUGGGCUAGUAAGUUUAUUUUGUACGUUUAUUCUAUUCCCAACUAUUUUCUGUCAACUGUAAAUGCAACUUCUGGAUCUUGUCUUUAUCACCUGCCCUGUAAAAUAAAUCUCACCUGUUUUAUCACCUUAA